This 467-nucleotide ribosomal RNA is filed under the name uncultured bacterium. RNAcentral's name for it is "partial 16S ribosomal RNA". It matches the Rfam family "Bacterial small subunit ribosomal RNA", at positions 28 to 507 of the family's 1533-position model. The record is from RNAcentral.
GACGAACGCUGGCGGCGUGCUUAACACAUGCAAGUCGAACGGAAAGGCCCUGCUUUUGUGGGGUGCUUGAGUGGCGAACGGGUGAGUAACACGUGAGUAACCUGCCCUUGACUUUGGGAUAACUUCAGGAAACUGGGGCUAAUACCGGAUAGGAGCUCCUGCUGCAUGGUGGGGGUUGGAAAGUUUCGGCGGUUGGGGAUGGACUCGCGGCUUAUCAGCUUGUUGGUGGGGUAGUGGCUUACCAAGGCUUUGACGGGUAGCCGGCCUGAGAGGGUGACCGGCCACAUUGGGACUGAGAUACGGCCAAGACCCUUCGGGAGGCAGCAGUGGGGAAUAUUGCACAAUGGGCGGAAGCCUGAUGCAGCAACGCCGCGUGCGGGAUGACGGCCUUCGGGUUGUAAACCGCUUUCGCCUGUGACGAAGCGUGAGUGACGGUAAUGGGUAAAGAAGCACCGGCUAACUACGUG